RNAcentral lists this ribosomal RNA (465 nucleotides) under uncultured bacterium. RNAcentral describes it as "partial 16S ribosomal RNA". It matches the Rfam family "Bacterial small subunit ribosomal RNA", at positions 28 to 506 of the family's 1533-position model. The record is from RNAcentral.
GAUGAACGCUGGCGGCGUGCUUAACACAUGCAAGUCGAACGGAAAGGCUCCUGCUUGCAGGGGUACUCGAGUGGCGAACGGGUGAGUAACACGUGGGUGAUCUGCCCUGCACUUCGGGAUAAGCCUGGGAAACUGGGUCUAAUACCGGAUAGGACGAUGGUUUGGAUGCCAUUGUGGAAAGUUUUUUCGGUGUGGGAUGAGCUCGCGGCCUAUCAGCUUGUUGGUGGGGUAAUGGCCUACCAAGGCGUCGACGGGUAGCCGGCCUGAGAGGGUGUACGGCCCAUUGGGGACGAAGGUCCGGCCCGGACCCCUAGGGGGGGCGGCGGGGGGGAAUAUGCCACAAGGGGGGCAAGCCUGAUGCGGCGACGCCGGGUGGGGGGUGCCGCCCUUCGGGUUGUAAACUCCUUUCGCUAGGGACGAAGCGAAAGUGGCGGUACCUGGAGAAGAAGCCCCGGCUACCUACGU